AACUUGCAGAAAAGUGGAAGUACCAUACAAAGAUGUGCUUGUUGCUGUUGGAGUGUCACUGCUCCCAGGCCCUCACUGUGGACACAGCUACAAAGUAAAUUUUGAAAUCAGUUUUUCAGCCGUGCAGCUGACUGGGCUAGAGAUGCGAAACCUCCACAGUCAUCAGUGUGUCUUUAAAUCAGGCAACCGCUCGGUCCCCACAAGGUCUCACCGGCAUGAGCCCUGCCUGGGUGCUGUGGGGCACGCAAAGCAGCAUCAAAGAGAUACAGCAAAAGGAAAUUUGCAGACAUGAUUAAGUUAACGAUCUGGAAAUGGAGAUAUUAUCCUUGGUGGACCAAAUGUCAUCACAAGCGUACUUCUAAGAGAGAAUCAGGAGGUCAGAGAAGAGAGAAGAUGCUUCGCUGCUGGUUUUGAAGAUGGAAGAAGGGGCCACAACCCAAAGAAUGUAGGUGGCUUCCAGAAGAGGAGAAAAGUCAGGAAAGCAGAUUCUCCUCAAGAGCUCCAGAAGAAAGGUGGCCCUGAUGACUGAUUUUGGACUUUGAUCUCUAGAAGUAUUAAAGGAUAAAUUGUGCUGUAUUAA
This is a non-coding RNA of Delphinapterus leucas (beluga whale), 580 nucleotides long. Lineage: Eukaryota; Metazoa; Chordata; Mammalia; Artiodactyla; Monodontidae. The record is from RefSeq and is a predicted model, not a curated record.